Molecule: ribosomal RNA, 977 nt
Filed under: uncultured bacterium
Lineage: Bacteria
Description: bacterial SSU rRNA
Rfam family: Bacterial small subunit ribosomal RNA
Source: RNAcentral
AGGGUGGACGUUGUCGGAUCCUGGGUGUAAGGGAGCGCAGGCGGUUUAGCAAGUCAUUGGUGAAAUUCUCAGGCUCAACCUGAGGGCUGCCAAUGAUACUGCUGAUCUUGAGUGUGGAAGAGGUAGAUGGAAUUCCUGGUGUAGCGGUGAAAUGCGUAGAUAUCAGGAAGAACACCGAUGGCGAAGGCAGUCUACUGGUCCAUUACUGACACUGAGAAGCGAAAGCAUGGGGAGCGAACAGGAUUAGAUACCCUGGUAGUCCAUGCCGUAAACGUUGGGAACUAGGUGUGGGUCUCAUUCCACGAGAUCCGUGCCGCAGCUAACGCAUUAAGUUCCCCGCCUGGGGAGUACGGCCGCAAGGCUAAAACUCAAAGGAAUUGACGGGGGCCCGCACAAGCAGCGGAGCAUGUGGCUUAAUUCGACGCAACGCGAAGAACCUUACCAAGGCUUGACAUACACCGGAAACGUCUGGAGACAGGCGCCCCCUUGUGGUCGGUGUACAGGUGGUGCAUGGCUGUCGUCAGCUCGUGUCGUGAGAUGUUGGGUUAAGUCCCGCAACGAGCGCAACCCUUGUCCUGUGUUGCCAGCAUGCCCUUCGGGGUGAUGGGGACUCACAGGAGACCGCCGGGGUCAACUCGGAGGAAGGUGGGGACGACGUCAAGUCAUCAUGCCCCUUAUGUCUUGGGCUGCACACGUGCUACAAUGGCCGGUACAAAGAGCUGCGAAACCGUGAGGUGGAGCGAAUCUCAAAAAGCCGGUCUCAGUUCGGAUUGGGGUCUGCAACUCGACCCCAUGAAGUCGGAGUCGCUAGUAAUCGCAGAUCAGCAACGCUGCGGUGAAUACGUUCCCGGGCCUUGUACACACCGCCCGUCAAGUCACGAAAGUUGGUAACACCCGAAGCCGGUGGCCUAACCCUUGUGGGGGGAGCCGUCGAAGGUGGGACCGGCGAUUGGGACUAAGUCGUAACAAGGUAACCC